This 254-nucleotide ribosomal RNA is filed under the name uncultured bacterium. RNAcentral's name for it is "partial 16S ribosomal RNA". It matches the Rfam family "Bacterial small subunit ribosomal RNA", at positions 524 to 776 of the family's 1533-position model. The record is from RNAcentral.
UACAGAGGUCCCAAGCGUUGUUCGGAUUCACUGGGCGAAAGGGUGCGUAGGUGGUUAGGUAAGUCCGAUGUGAAAUCUCCAGGCUCAACCUGGAAAUGGCAUUGGAUACUAUCUAGCUUGAGGAGUGGAGGGGGGACUGGAAUUCUCGGUGUAGCAGUGAAAUGCGUAGAUAUCGAGAGGAACACCAGUGGCGAAGGCGAGUCCCUGGACACUUCCUGACACUGAGGCACGAAAGCUAGGGGGAGCAAAACAGG